ACAGGGUGACAGGUGGUGCAUGGUUGUCGUCAGCUCGUGUCGUGAGAUGUUGGUUAAGUCCCGCAACGAGCGCAACCCUCGACCUUAGUUGCCAGCAUUCAGUUGGGCACUCUAAGGUGACUGCCGGCUAAAAGUCGGAGGAAGGUGGGGAUGACGUCAAAUCAUCAUGCCCUUAUGACCUGGGCUACACACGUGCUACAAUGGGCGGUACAAAGGGUCGCGAACCCGCGAGGGGGAGCCAAUCCCAAAAAGCCGCUCUCAGUUCGGAUUGCAGGCUGCAACUCGCCCUCAUGAAGCUGGAAUCCGUAGUAAUCGCGUUUCAACAGAACGCGGUGAAUACGUCCCUGUCGUCCUU
Molecule: ribosomal RNA, 355 nt
Filed under: uncultured Anoxybacillus sp.
Lineage: Bacteria; Bacillati; Bacillota; Bacilli; Caryophanales; Anoxybacillaceae
Description: bacterial SSU rRNA
Rfam family: Bacterial small subunit ribosomal RNA
Source: RNAcentral